AGGACGAACGCUGGCGGCGUGCUUAACACAUGCAAGUCGAACGAGGCGCUUGCGCCUAGUGGCGAACGGGUGAGUAACACGUGAGCAACCUGCCCUUGGCUCUGGGAUAGCCUCCGGAAAACGGGGAUUAAUACCGGACAUGACCUUCUCCUGCAUGGGGGAGGGUGGAAAGUUUUUCGGCCAGGGAGGGGCUCGCGGCCUAUCAGCUUGUUGGGGGGGUAACGGCCCACCAAGGCGACGACGGGUAGCCGGCCUGAGAGGGCGACCGGCCACACUGGGACUGAGACACGGCCCAGACUCCUACGGGAGGCAGCAGUGGGGAAUAUGCACAAUGGGGGAAACCCUGAUGCAGCGACGCCGCGUGCGGGAUGAAGGCCUUCGGGUUGUAAACCGCUUUCAGCAGGGCGAAUUCAGACGGUACCUGCAGAAGAAGCGCCGGCUAACUACGCGCCAGCAGCCGC
RNAcentral lists this ribosomal RNA (461 nucleotides) under uncultured bacterium. RNAcentral's name for it is "SSU rRNA". It matches the Rfam family "Bacterial small subunit ribosomal RNA", at positions 26 to 518 of the family's 1533-position model. The record is from RNAcentral.